This 568-nucleotide long non-coding RNA is filed under the name Sorghum bicolor (sorghum). RNAcentral's name for it is "long non-coding RNA (SBIC_LNC016023)". Lineage: Eukaryota; Viridiplantae; Streptophyta; Magnoliopsida; Poales; Poaceae. The record is from RNAcentral.
GACCCUUGUUGAGAGAUUUAUCAUGCUCCUAAGAUCAAGACAUUUAUUCAGAAAGAUUCACUCUUCCGAAGUAUUAUUGCAUUAGAGGCAUGGGCUAUGCAAAAAUAUGAAUAUUUUAAGGAAAUAAAAAGGAGCAAGUGCUCGACAACCUCACAGAAAAAAAUGGACAAGUGUCCGGCAGUAGAAUUAGGGGUACCUCGGUAUCCACCUGAAAAAAAAGAAGAGACAAGAAAAUAAAAGCACAUGGUCCCUCUAAUAAGCAAUAUGCCAGUAAGAGUUGAUAAGUUUUUAAUUUCCAAAGUCAUUAAUCUAAGAGUAUGGCAUUCCUCUCCUCGGAUCCCGUUUUGAUCAGGCAAUAAAUGUAAGGUAAGAAUGCUUGAGAAUUUCUGCAAAUUAAAACAGCCUCAGUAAGAUAUACAAAAGAUAAAUGAGUGAUCUGAGAGAACCUAUGAGGAUAAAGGUAUGCUAAAUUUCUUUUCAAAAAAAAAAUAUACAAAAACUCCAAGUGACAGUAUUGAGAAGAAAGGACCUCUACUCUUGACCAUAUAUUCCCCUAACUACGGUACAC